UACGGAGGGGGCUAGCGUUGUUCGGAAUUACUGGGCGUAAAGGGCGCGUAGGCGGACGUUCAAGUCGGGGGUGAAAUCCCGGGGCUCAACCCCGGAACUGCCUCCGAUACUGGACGUCUCGAGGACGGAAGAGGCGAGUGGAAUGCCGAGUGUAGAGGUGAAAUUCGUAGAUAUUCGGCGGAACACCAGUGGCGAAGGCGGCUCGCUGGUCCGUUUCUGACGCUGAGGCGCGAAAGCGUGGGGAGCAAAC
Molecule: ribosomal RNA, 250 nt
Filed under: uncultured bacterium
Lineage: Bacteria
Description: partial 16S ribosomal RNA
Rfam family: Bacterial small subunit ribosomal RNA
Source: RNAcentral